UACGGGGGGGGUAAGCGUUGUUCGGAAUUACUGGGCGUAAAGGGCUCGUAGGCGGCCAACUAAGUCGGACGUGAAAUCCCUCGGCUCAACCGGGGAACUGCGUCUGAUACUGGCGGGCUUGAAUUCGGGAGAGGGAUGUGGAAUUCCAGGUGUAGCGGUGAAAUGCGUAGAUAUCUGGAGGAACACCGGUGGCGAAGGCGGCAUCCUGGACCGACAUUGACGCUGAGGCGCGAAAGCCAGGGGAGCAAACGGG
Molecule: ribosomal RNA, 253 nt
Filed under: uncultured bacterium
Lineage: Bacteria
Description: partial 16S ribosomal RNA
Rfam family: Bacterial small subunit ribosomal RNA
Source: RNAcentral